UACGUAGGGGGCGAGCGUUGUCCGGAUUCAUUGGGCGUAAAGCGCGCGUAGGCGGCUUCGUAAGUCGGCCGUGAAAUCUCCAGGCUUAACCUGGAGGGGUCGGGCGAGACUGCGGGGCUCGAGGUGGGCAGAGGGCAGUGGAAUUCCGGAUGUAGUGGUGGAAUGCGUAGAGAUCCGGAGGAACACCAGUGGCGAAGGCGGCUGCCUGGGCCUGGCCUGACGCUGAGGCGCGAAAGCGUGGGGAGCGAUCCGG
This 253-nucleotide ribosomal RNA is filed under the name uncultured bacterium. Its description in RNAcentral is "partial 16S ribosomal RNA". It matches the Rfam family "Bacterial small subunit ribosomal RNA", at positions 524 to 776 of the family's 1533-position model. The record is from RNAcentral.